GCGGAUGUGGCGGAAUGGCAGACGCAACAGAUUCAAAAUCUGUCGCUUGCAAGAGCGUGAGGGUUCGAGUCCCUCUAUCCGCA
This 83-nucleotide transfer RNA is filed under the name Clostridiales bacterium. RNAcentral describes it as "tRNA-Leu". It matches the Rfam family "tRNA". From Rfam's summary of the family: Transfer RNA (tRNA) molecules are approximately 80 nucleotides in length. Lineage: Bacteria; Bacillati; Bacillota; Clostridia; Eubacteriales. The record is from RNAcentral.